UAUCCCCCAAAUCAAGGGGGGAUGAGAACCACCGACCGGGGUUCGACAACUGGCGCAGCCAGUUGGACAGACGACGAGCUUGCGAGGAGACUGCCCGAAGGGCGAGCGCAGCGAGUCAAUCCCCCCCCUCACCGCCA
This 137-nucleotide small RNA is filed under the name Salmonella enterica. RNAcentral's name for it is "RtT sRNA". It matches the Rfam family "RtT RNA". Rfam says of the family: This family represents a bacterial cis-regulatory element known as RtT RNA. Lineage: Bacteria; Pseudomonadati; Pseudomonadota; Gammaproteobacteria; Enterobacterales; Enterobacteriaceae. The record is from RNAcentral. RNAcentral also lists the same sequence under 5 other names.